RNAcentral lists this ribosomal RNA (1413 nucleotides) under Phacus orbicularis. RNAcentral describes it as "bacterial SSU rRNA". It matches the Rfam family "Bacterial small subunit ribosomal RNA". The record is from RNAcentral. Lineage: Eukaryota; Euglenozoa; Euglenophyceae; Euglenales; Phacaceae.
UGCUCAGGAUGAACGCUGGCGGUAUGCUUAACACAUGCAAGUUUAACGGCGAAAGCCGUGACGUACGGGUGAGUAACGCGUGAGUUAUCUACAUUUAGGAGGGGGACAACAAAUGGAAACGUUUGCUAAUACCCCGUAAUGCUUUAUUAAUUUAAAGUUAAAGAUUUAUUUGCCUAGAUAUGAGCUUGCGUCCGAUUAGCUAGUUGGUAGGGUAAAAGCUUACCAAGGCAACGAUCGGUAGCUGUUUCGAGAGAAAGAACAGCCACACUGGGACUGAGACACGGAACAGACUUCUACGGAAGGCAGCAGUGGGGAAUUUUUGGCAAUGGGUGAGAGCCUGACCAAGCAAUACCGCGUGGAGGAAGAAGGUUUUAGGAUUGUAAACUCCUUUUUUCAUUGAAGAAAAUAUGACGGUAAAUGAAGAAUAAGCAUCAGCUAAUUUCGUGCCAGCAGCUGCGGUAAUACGAGAGAUGCAAGCGUUAUCCGGAAUUAUUGGGCGUAAAGCGUUUGUAGAUGGUCUAAUAAGUUUAGUGUCAAAUCUUGAAGCUCAACUUCAAUACGGCAUUAAAAACUGUUAGUCUAGAGUGCGAUAGGGGUAAAGGGAAUUUCCAGUGUAGCGGUGAAAUGCGUAGAUAUUGGAAAGAACACCAAUGGCGAAAGCACUUUACUAGGUUGCUACUGACAUUGAGAGACGAAAGCUAGGGGAUCAAAAAGGAUUAGAUACCCUUGUAGUCCUAGCUGUAAACGAUGGAUACUAAAUGGUGCUUUUUGUACUGUUGUAGCUAACGCGUUAAGUAUCCCGCCUGGGGAGUACGCUUGCAAAAGUGAAACUCAAAGGAAUUGGCGGGGACCUGCACAAGCAGUGGAGCAUGUGGUUUAAUUCGAUGGUACACGAAGAACCUUACCAGGGUUUGACAUGUCAAGAAGUUUUCUGAAAGGAAGAUGUGCCUUAAUUGGAAUUUGACACAGGUGGUGCAUGGCUGUCGUCAGCUCGUGUCGUGAGAUAUUGGGUUAAGUCCCGUAACGAGCGCAACCCUUUUUUUUAGUUGUUUUCUAGAAAUACUGCCGGUGAUAAAUCGGAGGAAGGUGAGGAUGACGUCAAGUCAGCAUGCCCCUUAUGUCCUGGGCUACACACGUGCUACAAUGGCCAAUACAACGAGUAGCAAACUCGCGAGAGUAAGCAAAUCUCUAAAAGUUGGCCUUAGUUCGGAUUAUAGACUGCAACUCGUCUAUAUGAAGCCGGAAUUGCUAGUAAUCGCCGGUCAGCUAUACGGUGGUGAAUACGUUCUCAGGUCUUGCACACACCGCCCGUCACACCAUGGAAAUUGGCUAAACUCGAAGUAGUUUUCUUUUAGAUAGGCUACUAAGGUUGGGCUGGUGACUAGGGUGAAGUCGUAACAAGGUAGCCGUACU